GAUGAAGAACGCAGCGAAAUGCGAUAAGUAAUGUGAAUUGCAGAAUUCAGUGAAUCAUCGAAUCUUUGAACGCACAUUGCGCCCGCCAGUAUUCUGGCGGGCAUGCCUGUCUGAGCGUCAUUUCAACCCUCAUGCCCCUAGGGCGUGGUGUUGGGGAUCGGCCAAAGCCCGCGAGGGACGGCCGGCCCCUAAAUCUAGUGGCGGACCCGUCGUGGCCUCCUCUGCGAAGUAGUGAUAUUCCGCAUCGGAGAGCGACGAGCCCCUGCCGUUAAACCCCCAACUUUCCAAGGUUGACCUCAGAUCAGGUAGGAAUACCCGCUGAACUUAAGCAUACCAAUAAGCGGAGGA
Molecule: unclassified non-coding RNA, 348 nt
Filed under: soil metagenome
Description: partial contains 5.8S ribosomal RNA, internal transcribed spacer 2, and large subunit ribosomal RNA
Rfam family: 5.8S ribosomal RNA (bases 1-120)
Source: RNAcentral